Molecule: ribosomal RNA, 840 nt
Filed under: Ramularia inaequalis
Lineage: Eukaryota; Fungi; Ascomycota; Dothideomycetes; Mycosphaerellales; Mycosphaerellaceae
Description: eukaryotic LSU rRNA
Rfam family: Eukaryotic large subunit ribosomal RNA
Source: RNAcentral
AACCAACAGGGAUUGCCCUAGUAACGGCGAGUGAAGCGGCAACAGCUCAAAUUUGAAAUCUGGCGCAAGCCCGAGUUGUAAUUUGUAGAGGAUGCUUCUAGGUAGCGACCGGUCUAAGUUCCUUGGAACAGGACGUCAUAGAGGGUGAGAAUCCCGUAUGUGACCGGCCCGCACCUUCUACGUAGCUCCUUCGACGAGUCGAGUUGUUUGGGAAUGCAGCUCUAAAUGGGAGGUAAAUUUCUUCUAAAGCUAAAUACCGGCCAGAGACCGAUAGCGCACAAGUAGAGUGAUCGAAAGAUGAAAAGCACUUUGGAAAGAGAGUUAAAAAGCACGUGAAAUUGUUGAAAGGGAAGCGCUUACAACCAGACUUCUGGGCGGUGUUCCGCCGGUCUUUUGACCGGUCUACUCGCCGUCCCGAGGCCAACAUCAUCUGGGACCGCUGGAUAAGACCUCAGGAAUGUAGCUUCCCUCGGGAAGUGUUAUAGCCUGUGGUGAUGCAGCGCGUCUCGGGUGAGGUCCGCGCUUCGGCAAGGAUGUUGGCGUAAUGGUUGUCAGCGGCCCGUCUUGAAACACGGACCAAGGAGUCUAACAUCUAUGCGAGUGUUCGGGUGUCAAACCCCUACGCGUAAUGAAAGUGAACGGAGGUGGGAAGCGUAAGCUGCACCAUCGACCGAUCCUGAUGUCCUCGGAUGGAUUUGAGUAAGAGCAUAGCUGUUGGGACCCGAAAGAUGGUGAACUAUGCCUGAAUAGGGUGAAGCCAGAGGAAACUCUGGUGGAGGCUCGCAGCGGUUCUGACGUGCAAAUCGAUCGUCAAAUUUGGGUAUAGGGGCGAAAGACUAA